GAUGAACGCUGGCGGCGUGCCUAAUACAUGCAAGUCGAGCGAACAGACGAGGAGCUUGCUCCUCUGACGUUAGCGGCGGACGGGUGAGUAACACGUGGAUAACCUACCUAUAAGACUGGGAUAACUUCGGGAAACCGGAGCUAAUACCGGAUAAUAUAUUGAACCGCAUGGUUCAAUAGUGAAAGACGGUUUUGCUGUCACUUAUAGAUGGAUCCGCGCCGCAUUAGCUAGUUGGUAAGGUAACGGCUUACCAAGGCAACGAUGCGUAGCCGACCUGAGAGGGUGAUCGGCCACACUGGAACUGAGACACGGUCCAGACUCCUACGGGAGGCAGCAGUAGGGAAUCUUCCGCAAUGGGCGAAAGCCUGACGGAGCAACGCCGCGUGAGUGAUGAAGGUCUUCGGAUCGUAAAACUCUGUUAUUAGGGAAGAACAAAUGUGUAAGUAACUAUGCACGUCUUGACGGUACCAAUCAGAAAGCCACGGCUAACUACGUG
This 496-nucleotide ribosomal RNA is filed under the name uncultured bacterium. RNAcentral describes it as "partial 16S ribosomal RNA". It matches the Rfam family "Bacterial small subunit ribosomal RNA", at positions 28 to 507 of the family's 1533-position model. The record is from RNAcentral.